UUGCGGUUAAGCUAAUAAGAGCACACGGAGGAUGCCUAGGCGCCAGGAGCCGACGAAGGACGUGGCGAACAACGAAACUGCCUCGGGGAGCUGUAAGCAAGCUUUGAUCCGGGGGUGUCCGAAUGGGGAAACCCAGCUGUGGUAAUUCGCAGUUACUCGUAUCUGAAUACAUAGGAUACGCAGAGGCAGACCAGGGGAACUGAAACAUCUAAGUACCCUGAGGAAGAGAAAACAAUAGUGAUUCCGUCAGUAGCGGCGAGCGAACGCGGAACAGCCUAAACCAGGGGGCUUGCCUCCUGGGGUUGUGGGACGUCUCACAUGGAGUUACAAAGGAAUAUGGUAGGCGAAGAGGUCUGGAAAGGCCCGCGAUAGAGGUAAAAGCCCUGUAGCCUAAACUGUGUUCUCUCCGAGACGGAUCCCGAGUAGUGCGGGGCACGUGAAACCCCGUAUGAAUCCGGCAGGACCAUCUGUCAAGGCUAAAUACUACCUGGCGACCGAUAGUGAAACAGUACCGUGAGGGAAAGGUGAAAAGCACCCCGGAAGGGGAGUGAAAUAGAACCUGAAACCGUGUGCUUACAAAAAGUCAGAGCCCGAUCUAUGGGUGAUGGCGUGCCUUUUGUAGAAUGAACCGGCGAGUUACGUUUAACAUGCAAGGUUAAGGUGAGAAGCCGGAGCCGCAGCGAAAGCGAGUCUGAAUAGGGCGAUUUAGUAUGUGGACGUAGACCCGAAACCGUGUGAUCUACCCCUGUCCAGGGUGAAGGUGCGGUAACACGCACUGGAGGCCCGAACCCACGUACGUUGAAAAGUGCGGGGAUGAGGUGGGGGUAGCGGAGAAAUUCCAAUCGAACUCGGAGAUAGCUGGUUCUCCCCGAAAUAGCUUUAGGGCUAGCCUCGGUGAAUGGAGUGAUGGAGGUAGAGCACUGAUUGGGUGCGGGGCCCGCAAGGGUUACCAAGCUCAGUCAAACUCCGAAUGCCAUUACCUUCUUGCCGGGAGUCAGACAGUGAGUGCUAAGAUCCAUUGUCAAAAGGGAAACAGCCCAGACCAUCAGCUAAGGUCCCCAAGUGUGUGUUAAGUGGGAAAGGAUGUGGAGUUGCACAGACAACCAGGAUGUUGGCUUAGAAGCAGCCACCAUUUAAAGAGUGCGUAAUAGCUCACUGGUCGAGUGACUCUGCGCCGAAAAUGUAACGGGGCUAAACACACCACCGAAGCUAUGGCUAGAUGCUUUGCAUCUGGGGUAGGGGAGCGUUGUAUGUGGGUUGAAGGUGUACCGUAAGGAGCGCUGGACAGCAUACAAGUGAGAAUGCCGGUAUGAGUAACGAAAAGAUCAGUGAGAAUCUGAUCCGCCGAAAGCCCAAGGUUUCCUGAGGAAGGCUCGUCCGCUCAGGGUAAGUCGGGACCUAAGGCGAGGCCGAUAGGCGUAGUCGAAGGACAACAGUUUGAAAUUACUGUACCACCGUAAUCCGCUAUGAGCGAUGGGGUGACGCAGGAGGGUAGUGACGCGGACUGAUGGAUGUCCGUCUAAGCAGUGAGGCUGGUGUGUAGGCAAAUCCGCACACUGUUAAGGCCAGGCUGUGAUGGGGAGCGAAAAUUAUAGUAGCGAAGGUCAUGAUCUCACACUGCCAAGAAAAGCCUCUAGCCAGGAGAAGGUGCCCGUACCGCAAACCGACACAGGUAGGCGAGAAGAGAAUUCUAAGGCGCGCGGAAGAACUCUCGUUAAGGAACUCGGCAAAAUGACCCCGUAACUUCGGGAGAAGGGGUGCCUCGGUAGGGUGAAUAGCCCGAGGGGGCCGCAGUGAAAAGGCCCAAGCGACUGUUUAGCAAAAACACAGGUCUGUGCGAAGCCGCAAGGCGAAGUAUACGGGCUGACGCCUGCCCGGUGCUGGAAGGUUAAGGGGAGUGGUUAGGAGCAAUCCGAAGCUAUGAACCGAAGCCCCAGUAAACGGCGGCCGUAACUAUAACGGUCCUAAGGUAGCGAAAUUCCUUGUCAGGUAAAUUCUGACCCGCACGAAUGGCGUAACGACUUGGGCGCUGUCUCAACGAGAGAUCCGGUGAAAUUUUAAUACCUGUGAAGAUGCAGGUUACCCGCGACAAGACGGAAAGACCCCAUGGAGCUUUACUGCAGCUUGAUAUUGAAUUUGGGUACGAUCUGUACAGGAUAGGUGGGAGCCGUAGAAACAGGAGCGCAAGCUUCUGUGGAGGCGCCGUUGGGAUACCACCCUGAUCGUAUCUAGGUUCUAACCUGGUGCCCUUAACGGGUACGGGGACCGUGUCAGGCGGGCAGUUUGACUGGGGCGGUCGCCUCCUAAAGAGUAACGGAGGCGUUCAAAGGUUCCCUCAGAAUGGUUGGAAAUCAUUCGAAGAGUGCAAAGGCAUAAGGGAGCUUGACUGCGAGACCUACAAGUCGAGCAGGGACGAAAGUCGGACUUAGUGAUCCGGUGGUACCGCAUGGAAGGGCCAUCGCUCAACGGAUAAAAGCUACCCUGGGGAUAACAGGCUUAUCUCCCCCAAGAGUCCACAUCGACGGGGAGGUUUGGCACCUCGAUGUCGGCUCAUCGCAUCCUGGGGCUGAAGUAGGUCCCAAGGGUUGGGCUGUUCGCCCAUUAAAGCGGUACGCGAGCUGGGUUCAGAACGUCGUGAGACAGUUCGGUCCCUAUCUGUCGUGGGCGCAGGAAAUUUGAGAGGAGCUGUCCUUAGUACGAGAGGACCGGGAUGGACGUACCGCUGGUGCACCAGUUGUUUCGCCAGAAGCAUGGCUGGGUAGCUACGUACGGACGGGAUAAGCGCUGAAAGCAUCUAAGCGUGAAGCCCCCCUCAAGAUGAGAUUUCCCAAUUAGUAAGACCCCUUGAAGACGACGAGGUAGAUAGGUUGGAGGUGGAAGUGCAGCAAUGCAUGGAGCUGACCAAUACUAAUCGGUCGAGGGCUUAUCCAAU
Molecule: ribosomal RNA, 2932 nt
Filed under: Paenibacillus sp. FSL R7-0273
Lineage: Bacteria; Bacillati; Bacillota; Bacilli; Caryophanales; Paenibacillaceae
Description: bacterial LSU rRNA
Rfam family: Bacterial large subunit ribosomal RNA
Source: RNAcentral